This 611-nucleotide ribosomal RNA is filed under the name Papiliotrema laurentii. Its description in RNAcentral is "eukaryotic LSU rRNA". It matches the Rfam family "Eukaryotic large subunit ribosomal RNA", at positions 68 to 669 of the family's 3401-position model. Lineage: Eukaryota; Fungi; Basidiomycota; Tremellomycetes; Tremellales; Rhynchogastremaceae. The record is from RNAcentral.
ACAGGGCAUUCCCUUAGUACGGCGAGUGAACCGGGAUGAGCUCAAAUUUAAAAUCUGGCGUCUUUCAGGCGUCCGAGUUGUAAUCUAUAGAGGCGUUUUCCGCGCCGGACCGCGUCCAAGUCCCUUGGAAUAGGGUAUCAAAGAGGGUGACAAUCCCGUACUUGACGCGACAACCGGUGCUCUGUGAUACGUUCUCAACGAGUCGAGUUGUUUGGGAAUGCAGCUCUAAACGGGUGGUAAAUUCCAUCUAAGGCUAAAUAUUGGCGAGAGACCGAUAGCGAACAAGUACCGUGAGGGAAAGAUGAAAAGCACUUUGGAAAGAGAGUUAAACAGCACGUGAAAUUGUUAAAAGGGAAACGAUUGAAGUCAGUCGUGUGGGAGGUAUUCAGCCGUCUCUGGCGGUGUAUUUGCCUCUCACGGGUCAACAUCAGUUUGAUCCGGUAGAAAAAGGCGGGAGGAAGGUGGCACCCUCGGGUGUGUUAUAGCCUCCUGUCACAUGUGCCGGACCAGACUGAGGAACGCAGCUUGCAGCAAUGCCGGGGUUCGCCCACGUACAAGCUUAGGAUGUUGACAUAAUGGCUUUAAACGACCCGUCUUGAACACCGGAACCA